GACGAACGCUGGCGGCGCGCCUAACACAUGCAAGUCGAACGGAGCUGAGAGAAGCUUGCUUUUCUUAGCUUAGUGGCGAACGGGUGAGUAACGCGUGAGUAACCUGCCCUGGAGUGGGGGACAACAGUUGGAAACGACUGCUAAUACCGCAUAAGCCCACGAUCCGGCAUCGGAUUGAGGGAAAAGGAUUUAUUCGCUUCAGGAUGGACUCGCGUCCAAUUAGCUAGUUGGUGAGGUAACGGCCCACCAAGGCGACGAUUGGUAGCUGGACUGAGAGGUUGAACGGCCACAUUGGGACUGAGACACGGCCCAGACUCCUACGGGAAGCAGCAGUGGGGGAUAUUGCACAAUGGGGGAAACCCUGAUGCAGCGACGCCGCGUGGAGGAAGAAGGUUUUCGGAUUGUAAACUCCUGUCGUUAGGGACGAUAAUGACGGUACCUAACAAGAAAGCACCGGCUAACUACGUG
This 468-nucleotide ribosomal RNA is filed under the name uncultured bacterium. Its description in RNAcentral is "partial 16S ribosomal RNA". It matches the Rfam family "Bacterial small subunit ribosomal RNA", at positions 28 to 507 of the family's 1533-position model. The record is from RNAcentral.